RNAcentral lists this unclassified non-coding RNA (242 nucleotides) under Hevea brasiliensis (rubber tree). Lineage: Eukaryota; Viridiplantae; Streptophyta; Magnoliopsida; Malpighiales; Euphorbiaceae. The record is from RNAcentral.
GGUGAGGGUACCUGCACCUCGGAUGGGAAAUACUGAAAUCCCACCUGAGGAUGGCUACACUUGGAGGAAAUAUGGCCAGAAAGAAAUACUAGGGUCAAGGUUUCCAAGGGGUUACUACAGGUGCACACACCAAAAAUUGUACCAAUGUCCAGCCAAGAAACAAGUUCAGAGACUAGAUGAUGAUCCCUACAUGUUUGAAGUUACGUACAGGAGUGAUCACACUUGCCACAUGUCUGCUACUG